UAAAAAGAUAAGCUAAAUAAGCUAUUGGGCUCAUACCUCAAUUAUAAAGGUCCUACUCCUUUUCUUUUU
This 69-nucleotide transfer RNA is filed under the name Erotylinae sp. 2 ACP-2013. RNAcentral describes it as "tRNA-Met". It matches the Rfam family "tRNA". Rfam says of the family: Transfer RNA (tRNA) molecules are approximately 80 nucleotides in length. Their secondary structure includes four short double-helical elements and three loops (D, anti-codon, and T loops). Further hydrogen bonds mediate the characteristic L-shaped molecular structure. tRNAs have two regions of fundamental functional importance: the anti-codon, which is responsible for specific mRNA codon recognition, and the 3' end, to which the tRNAs corresponding amino acid is attached (by aminoacyl-tRNA synthetases). tRNAs cope with the degeneracy of the genetic code in two manners: having more than one tRNA (with a specific anti-codon) for a particular amino acid; and 'wobble' base-pairing, i.e. permitting non-standard base-pairing at the 3rd anti-codon position. The record is from RNAcentral. Lineage: Eukaryota; Metazoa; Arthropoda; Insecta; Coleoptera; Erotylidae.